Molecule: ribosomal RNA, 260 nt
Filed under: uncultured beta proteobacterium
Lineage: Bacteria; Pseudomonadati; Pseudomonadota; Betaproteobacteria
Description: partial 16S ribosomal RNA
Rfam family: Bacterial small subunit ribosomal RNA
Source: RNAcentral
AUAUAUCGGAACGUGCCCAGCUCGUGGGGGAUAACGUAGCGAAAGCUACGCUAAUACCGCAUACGAUCUACGGAUGAAAGCGGGGGAUCGCAAGACCUCGCGCGAUUGGAGCGGCCGAUAUCAGAUUAGCUAGUUGGUGGGGUAAAGGCCCACCAAGGCGACGAUCUGUAGCUGGUCUGAGAGGACGACCAGCCACACUGGAACUGAGACACGGUCCAGACUCCUACGGGAGGCAGCAGUGGGGAAUUUUGGACAAUGGG